UGAGUAACACGUGAGUAACCUGCCCUUGACUCUGGGAUAAGCCUGGGAAACUGGGUCUAAUACUGGAUAUGCACCGUGGACCGCAUGGUUCUUGGUGGAAAGAUUUAUUGGUCAGGGAUGGACUCGCGGCCUAUCAGCUUGUUGGUGAGGUAAUGGCUCACCAAGGCGACGACGGGUAGCCGGCCUGAGAGGGUGACCGGCCACACUGGGACUGAGACACGGCCCAGACUCCUACGGGAGGCAGCAGUGGGGAAUAUUGCACAAUGGGCGAAAGCCUGAUGCAGCGACGCCGCGUGAGGGAUGACGGCCUUCGGGUUGUAAACCUCUUUCAGUAGGGAAGAAGCGAAAGUGACGGUACCUGCAGAAGAAGCGCCGGCUAACUACGUGCCAGCAGCCGCGGUAAUACGUAGGGCGCAAGCGUUAUCCGGAAUUAUUGGGCGUAAAGAGCUCGUAGGCGGUUUGUCGCGUCUAUCGUGAAAGUCCGAGGCUCAACCUCGGAUCUGCGGUGGGUACGGGCAGACUAGAGUGAUGUAGGGGAGACUGGAAUUCCUGGUGUAGCGGUGAAAUGCGCAGAUAUCAGGAGGAACACCGAUGGCGAAGGCAGGUCUCUGGGCAUUAACUGACGCUGAGGAGCGAAAGCAUGGGGAGCGAACAGGAUUAGAUACCCUGGUAGUCCAUGCCGUAAACGUUGGGCACUAGGUGUGGGGGACAUUCCACGUUUUCCGCGCCGUAGCUAACGCAUUAAGUGCCCCGCCUGGGGAGUACGGCCGCAAGGCUAAAACUCAAAGGAAUUGACGGGGGCCCGCACAAGCGGCGGAGCAUGCGGAUUAAUUCGAUGCAACGCGAAGAACCUUACCAAGGCUUGACAUGUGCUAGAUCGCCAUAGAAAUAUGGUUUCCCCUUUGGGGCUGGUUCACAGGUGGUGCAUGGUUGUCGUCAGCUCGUGUCCUGAGAUGUUGGGUUAAGUCCCGCAACGAGCGCAACCCUCCGUUCCAUGUUGCCAGCACGUAAUGGUGGGGGACUCCUGGGGAGAAU
Molecule: ribosomal RNA, 1035 nt
Filed under: Arthrobacter sp.
Lineage: Bacteria; Bacillati; Actinomycetota; Actinomycetes; Micrococcales; Micrococcaceae
Description: bacterial SSU rRNA
Rfam family: Bacterial small subunit ribosomal RNA
Source: RNAcentral